AUGAACGCUGGCGGCGUGCCUAAUACAUGCAAGUCGAGCGAACGGACGAGAAGCUUGCUUCUCUGAUGUUAGCGGCGGACGGGUGAGUAACACGUGGAUAACCUACCUAUAAGACUGGGAUAACUUCGGGAAACCGGAGCUAAUACCGGAUAAUAUUUUGAACCGCAUGGUUCAAAAGUGAAAGACGGUCUUGCUGUCACUUAUAGAUGGAUCCGCGCUGCAUUAGCUAGUUGGUAAGGUAACGGCUUACCAAGGCAACGAUGCAUAGCCGACCUGAGAGGGUGAUCGGCCACACUGGAACUGAGACACGGUCCAGACUCCUACGGGAGGCAGCAGUAGGGAAUCUUCCGCAAUGGGCGAAAGCCCGACGGAGCAACGCCGCGUGAGUGAUGAAGGUCUUCGGAUCGUAAAACUCUGUUAUUAGGGAAGAACAUAUGUGUAAGUAACUGUGCACAUCUUGACGGUACCUAAUCAGAAAGCCACGGCUAACUACGUG
Molecule: ribosomal RNA, 496 nt
Filed under: uncultured bacterium
Lineage: Bacteria
Description: partial 16S ribosomal RNA
Rfam family: Bacterial small subunit ribosomal RNA
Source: RNAcentral